This 92-nucleotide transfer RNA is filed under the name Bacillota bacterium. RNAcentral's name for it is "tRNA-Ser". It matches the Rfam family "tRNA". Rfam says of the family: Transfer RNA (tRNA) molecules are approximately 80 nucleotides in length. Their secondary structure includes four short double-helical elements and three loops (D, anti-codon, and T loops). Further hydrogen bonds mediate the characteristic L-shaped molecular structure. tRNAs have two regions of fundamental functional importance: the anti-codon, which is responsible for specific mRNA codon recognition, and the 3' end, to which the tRNAs corresponding amino acid is attached (by aminoacyl-tRNA synthetases). tRNAs cope with the degeneracy of the genetic code in two manners: having more than one tRNA (with a specific anti-codon) for a particular amino acid; and 'wobble' base-pairing, i.e. permitting non-standard base-pairing at the 3rd anti-codon position. RNAcentral also lists the same sequence under 2 other names. The record is from RNAcentral. Lineage: Bacteria; Bacillati; Bacillota.
GGAGAGAUGGCUGAGUUGGUCGAAGGCGCUCGCCUGGAAAGCGAGUAACGGUGUUAAGCCGUUCGAGGGUUCGAAUCCCUCUCUCUCCGCCA